Molecule: ribosomal RNA, 497 nt
Filed under: uncultured bacterium
Lineage: Bacteria
Description: partial 16S ribosomal RNA
Rfam family: Bacterial small subunit ribosomal RNA
Source: RNAcentral
GAUGAACGCUGGCGGCGUGCCUAAUACAUGCAAGUCGAGCGAACAGGCGAGGAGCUUGCUCCUUUGACGUUAGCGGCGGACGGGUGAGUAACACGUGGGUAACCUACCUAUAAGACUGGGAUAACUUCGGGAAACCGGAGCUAAUACCGGAUAAUAUUUCGAACCGCAUGGUUCGAUAGUGAAAGAUGGCUUUGCUAUCACUUAUAGAUGGACCUGCGCCGUAUUAGCUAGUUGGUAAGGUAACGGCUUACCAAGGCAACGAUACGUAGCCGACCUGAGAGGGUGAUCGGCCACACUGGAACUGAGACACGGUCCAGACUCCUACGGGAGGCAGCAGUAGGGAAUCUGCCGCAAUGGGCGAAAGCCUGACGGAGCAACGCCGCGUGAGUGAUGAAGGUCUUCGGAUCGUAAAACUCUGUUAUUAGGGAAGAACAAACGUGUAAGUAACUGUGCACGUCUUGACGGUACCUAAUCAGAAAGCCACGGCUAACUACGUG